AUUCAACUAUUUGAAAUGUAUACUUAAAUUUGCUUUAUACCCAUCUGUCGAUCGCAAGGGAUGAUCGUAGUCGUGAAGUAAAUGGUCAUCGCGACUCGAUUAUUACCGGGAAACCUAAAAUUCCCAAGGUUCCUGCGCAUGUCUACCUUCUGGCAGAUUUAGAAGAAAAUCACUACUAUGUGUCCCAAUUACACAUCAUCAGAUAAUACGGACGGUAUGAAAUUGGAACACGACGAGGAGCAAAUCAUUAAAUGGCUGCACAUUGAAUUCCCGAACGUUGUCAUGAGUGCAUUUCCAUGUGUACCGGCUCAUAACAGAUGUCUGC
Molecule: long non-coding RNA, 325 nt
Organism: Photinus pyralis (common eastern firefly)
Lineage: Eukaryota; Metazoa; Arthropoda; Insecta; Coleoptera; Lampyridae
Exons: 3
Source: RefSeq, a predicted model, not a curated record